Molecule: long non-coding RNA, 455 nt
Filed under: Capsella rubella
Lineage: Eukaryota; Viridiplantae; Streptophyta; Magnoliopsida; Brassicales; Brassicaceae
Description: long non-coding RNA (CRUB_LNC004124)
Source: RNAcentral
CCGGGCUAGCUCGCGAGCUUUAGCCCUAAUUUUCAUGCCUAUGUGUAAGUAACUUUUGAUUAAGGGUUUAUAUAAAAUUGAUAUUUGAAGGUAUGCUUUUUUUUUUCUUUUUGAAAAUAUAUAUAUGAUAUUUGAAGGUAUGCACUAUGAGGCCAUCAACUAUAACUGGACGCCAAGGCCGCAACAAGUUGUCUGAUAUUUCUCGCAGAUCAUCUGAAGCAUAUGCAGAUCUUUGUACUAAACAGUUAAACUCUUUUCCAGAUUGUACGCCUCAAGAGUUCUUGCGGCCUUGGAUUAAUUAGGAUGUUGAUGCAUUACAAAUGUAGUGUGUGCUCAAAAAUGUCAUUUUUGGAUGUGUACUUUGUUACGUAUGCAUUUCAUUAAAAGAUGAAUGAGAACCUUGUUGAUAAUCGUCGAUGAGGAUAUGCUCUAAAGUCAUUGAAGUAUCGAAAAAA